CCCUUAGAUGUUCUGGGCCGCACGCGCGCUACACUGAUGCAUUCAACGAGUCUAAAACCUGGUCUGAUAGGGCUGGGUAAUCUUUUGAAUGUGCAUCGUGAUUGGGAUAGAUGAUUGCAAUUCUUCAUCUUCAACGAGGAAUGCCUAGUAAACGCAAGUCAUCAGCUUGCAUUGAUUACGUCCCUGCCCUUUGUACACACCGCCCGUCGCUCCUACCGAUUGAAUGUUCCGAUGAAUACCAUGGACUGAGAGUAUGAAUGGGUUCGCCUAUUUCUGCUUCUCGGGAAGUGGAGUGAAUCUUAACAUUUAGAGGAAGGAGAAGUCGUAACA
RNAcentral lists this ribosomal RNA (330 nucleotides) under uncultured eukaryote. RNAcentral's name for it is "partial 18S ribosomal RNA". It matches the Rfam family "Eukaryotic small subunit ribosomal RNA", at positions 1470 to 1796 of the family's 1831-position model. The record is from RNAcentral.